GUUUCUGAUUAUAUAGACUGGAGGAUAACCAUGCCUUUCACAGUGUCUAUUUCCUUGUAAGAUAACAUCAUUUGCAGCAUUUUGAAAUAACGAACUUGUUCUUUUUUAUAUGUCUAGAUUAGGGCGAUACUUGUUCUUCUCCCAGCUAAAUGAGGCAAAAGGAAAUUCUAAUAGGCCCUGGGAAAAGUAAUUAAUGGGUCAGAACAGCCUCAUCCAUUUCUUUUGAGCAGUGCUCCCUGCAUGAGUGAACUGUAGGCAAAAUCCCCUCUCUUGCCUGCUCUCCAAUCAUCAAGUGUGUGAUGCCACUUCUGGGGAUCAGGACCUUCUAGACAACUUAGAGUUCCUUCAAGUCGGUAGAAGGCUGGAAGCAGAGGAUGAUGUUGAUCCUGAUAUAUGCAUUGGAAAAAAUAAAUUAGAGAAUACAACACAAUACAUCGAACCCCUGGUAGAUACUCCAAGAAGCUGAAAUAAUCCAGAUCAUCUUUAUCUAGGUGUGUCUUUAAGACGUCACAAGUUCCUAAAAGAUGGUGCUAUUUACUGUGCCUAGAAGAUAUAAAGAAUAAGGAUUAAGCCUCAAACACUCCUUUGCAUCCCACCACUUCAGCAAAGCCUUCCAACCCAGAACUCCAUGAUGAAGAUGUCCCUCUUGCUAUCUCAUCUGUUUGUGUCAUUUUCCUGUGUUUUGCAUUUGUUUGAAAGCUCUUUAAU
RNAcentral lists this long non-coding RNA (708 nucleotides) under Equus caballus (horse). RNAcentral's name for it is "lncRNA (ENSECAG00000058905.1)". The record is from RNAcentral. Lineage: Eukaryota; Metazoa; Chordata; Mammalia; Perissodactyla; Equidae.